Molecule: ribosomal RNA, 505 nt
Filed under: uncultured bacterium
Lineage: Bacteria
Description: partial 16S ribosomal RNA
Rfam family: Bacterial small subunit ribosomal RNA
Source: RNAcentral
GACGAACGCUGGCGGCGUGCCUAAUACAUGCAAGUAGAACGCACAGUUUAUACCGUAGCUUGCUACACCAUAGACUGUGAGUUGCGAACGGGUGAGUAACGCGUAGGUAACCUGCCUGGUAGCGGGGGAUAACUAUUGGAAACGAUAGCUAAUACCGCAUAAUAUUGAUUAUUGCAUGAUAAUUGAUUGAAAGAUGCUAUUGCAUCACUACCAGAUGGACCUGCGUUGUAUUAGCUAGUAGGUGAGGUAACGGCUCACCUAGGCGACGAUACAUAGCCGACCUGAGAGGGUGAGCGGCCACACUGGGAGUGAGACACGGCCCAGACUCCUACGGGAGGCAGCAGUAGGGAAUCUUCGGCAAUGGACGAAAGUCUGACCGAGCAACGCCGCGUGAGUGAAGAAGGGUUUCGGAUCGUAAAGCUCGGUUGUAAGAGAAGAACGGGUGUGAGAGUGGAAAGUUCACACUGUGACGGUAUCUGACCAGAAAGGGACGGCUAACUACGUG